Molecule: long non-coding RNA, 1513 nt
Organism: Oncorhynchus masou masou (cherry salmon)
Lineage: Eukaryota; Metazoa; Chordata; Actinopteri; Salmoniformes; Salmonidae
Exons: 2
Source: RefSeq, a predicted model, not a curated record
CUUACUACCCUCUCCACUACUGUUCCAUCGAUGUGGAUAGGGAGGUGUUCCCUCUGCUGUUUCCUGAAGUCCACAAUCAUCUCCUUAGUUUUGUUGACGUUGAGUGUGAGGUUAUUUUCCUGACACCACACUCCGAGGGCCCUCACCUCCUCCCUGAGGAUUAUACAACAUGCACAUUUAUAUUCAUAUUCAUACACGGUCUUGUCAAAUACACUGAACAAAAAUAUAAACACAACAUGUAAAGUGUUGGUCCCAUGUUUCAUGAGCUGAAAUAAAAAAUCCCAGAUUCACAAAAAGCUAAUCUCUCAAAAAUGUUGUGCACAAAUUUGUUUACAUUCCUGUUCAUGAGCAUUACUACUUUGACAAGAUAAUCCAGCCACCUGACAGGUGUAGCAUAUCAAGAAGCUCAUUAAACCGCAAUAUCAUUACACAGGUGCACCUUAUUUUGAGGACAAUAAAAUAACUCUAAAAUGUGCACUUUUGUCACACAACACAAUGCCACACGUCUCAAAUUUUGAGGGAGCUUGCAAUUGGCAUGCUGACUGCAGGAAUGUUCACCAGAACUGUUGCUAGAGAAUUGAAUGUUAAUUUCUCUACCAUAAAGCACCUCUAACAUCAUUUUACAGAAUUUAGCAGUAGGUCCAACUGGCCUCUGUAGAUGAACAUGUACUGUAUGUGUUUACAGGAAGAAUUUCCAUUCAUUGAAUGUUCAGAUCAUCUGUGAUGCCCAUAUGCAACUACCCAAUGUAUGCUCUAAUUGGCCAGGGUCUACGCACGACUCAUUCAUUCUGCGCCACAGCAGAGUAGGCCUGCGUCUAGAAGCUGGUGACCAGGGCUAUCCACUGAAAACAUGGCUUCCCUUUUUGCCGAUCCCUGAACACCAGAUGAAAUGCCCUACAAUUUAGAGCAUGGCAGAACAAGUUUGGUUGUGGAGCAUGUGGCGUUGCCUUGAUGCAUCAGGUGGAAAACUCCUCUACAAGCCAAAGGUCACUUCUUUAAUAAAAAAACAAAACUUACAUUUUGUUUUAAAAUGGGUCAACUUAAAGCAACAUAUACCAACAUUUUAUAUUUAGCAUUGUAUUGAAAUUGCAUACCCAAAGGUUCUGGUCAAAUAUCUGAAAACAAGUUUUUAAUUUGGCCCUACGGUUACUGAGAUGUCCCAUUGAAGCUUGUUCAUUUUGUAGCAAUGCUAGUGUAUGUCACGUUCUGACCUUUAUUUCCUUUGUUUUGUCUUUAUUUAGUUGGUCAGGGCGUCAGUUGGGGUGGGCAGUCUAUGUUCUGUGUUUCUAUGUUUGGUUUCUGUUUCGGCCUCGUAUGGUUCUCAAUCAGAGGCAGGUGUUGUUAGUUGUCUCUGAUUGAGAAUUAUACUUAGGUAGCCUGGGUUUCACUGUUGGUUUGUGGCAUGUUCAUUUUAUACUAUUAAAACAUGGACACGUGUCAGUGCCACACUUUGUUAUUUUGUAUUGUGGAAUGUUCAUUUUAUACUAUUAAAACAUGGACACUUACCACGCUA